CCUACGGGCGGCUGCAGUGAGGAAUAUUGGUCAAUGGGCGCGAGCCUGAACCAGCCAAGCCGCGUGAAGGAAGACUGCCCUACGGUUUGUAAACUUCUUUUAUACAAGAAUAAAGUUAGGCAAGUGUGCUUUUUUGUAUGUACUUUAUGAAUAAGGAUCGGCUAACUCCGUGCCAGCAGCCGCGGUAAUACGGAGGAUCCGAGCGUUAUCCGGAUUUAUUGGGUUUAAAGGGUGCGUAGAUGGGUUGUUAAGUUAGUUGUGAAAGUUUGCGGCUUAACCGGAAAAUUGCAAUUGAUACUGGCAGCCUUGAGAACAGUUGAGGUAGGCGGAAUGCGUGGUGUAGCGGUGAAAUGCUUAGAGAUCACGAAGAACUCCGAUUGCGAAGGCAGCCUACUAAACUGCCACUGACAUUGAUGCUCGAAAGUGUGGGUAUCAAACAGGAUUAGAUACCCCUGUAGUC
Molecule: ribosomal RNA, 460 nt
Filed under: uncultured bacterium
Lineage: Bacteria
Description: partial 16S ribosomal RNA
Rfam family: Bacterial small subunit ribosomal RNA
Source: RNAcentral